UACGGGGGGGGCAAGCGUUGUUCGGAAUUACUGGGCGUAAAGGGCUUGUAGGCGGCCGCUCAAGUCAGGCGUGAAAGCCCCGGGCUCAACCUGGGAGGUGCGCUUGGGACUGGGUGGCUGGAGUUCGGGAGAGGAGCGUGGAAUUCCCAGUGUAGAGGUGAAAUUCGUAGAUAUUGGGAAGAACACCGGUGGCGAAGGCGGCGCUCUGGACCGAGACUGACGCUGAGGCGCGAAAGCGUGGGGAGCAAACAGG
Molecule: ribosomal RNA, 253 nt
Filed under: uncultured bacterium
Lineage: Bacteria
Description: partial 16S ribosomal RNA
Rfam family: Bacterial small subunit ribosomal RNA
Source: RNAcentral